AUGCCGUAAACUUAUGAGUAAGGAAAAUGAGUCAAAGUAAUGCCUGAAUCCUUACUGUUAAUGUGAACUGAAUUUUUUAGCAGGGAAGGGGGUCAUCCCUAAGAUGAUGUCUCCUC
This 116-nucleotide small nuclear RNA is filed under the name Bison bison bison. RNAcentral's name for it is "U12 minor spliceosomal RNA (ENSBBBG00000010848.1)". The record is from RNAcentral. Lineage: Eukaryota; Metazoa; Chordata; Mammalia; Artiodactyla; Bovidae.